CUUCUAACAAGCACAUAUACUAAAAUUGCAGUAAUGUUGAGAAGAUGAGCAUGGCCUCUGCACAAGGAUGAUGCAAUUCAUGAAGCAUUCCAUAUUAAA
This 99-nucleotide small nuclear RNA is filed under the name Canis lupus familiaris (dog). RNAcentral also lists the same sequence under 1 other name. The record is from RNAcentral. Lineage: Eukaryota; Metazoa; Chordata; Mammalia; Carnivora; Canidae.